GGGGCCCGUAGCUCAGCCUGGAUAGAGCGGCGGCCUUCUAAGAGCCGUAGGUCGUGGGUUCAAAUCCCAUCGGGCCCGCC
RNAcentral lists this transfer RNA (80 nucleotides) under Pyrobaculum ferrireducens. Its description in RNAcentral is "tRNA-Arg". It matches the Rfam family "tRNA". Rfam says of the family: Transfer RNA (tRNA) molecules are approximately 80 nucleotides in length. Their secondary structure includes four short double-helical elements and three loops (D, anti-codon, and T loops). Lineage: Archaea; Thermoproteati; Thermoproteota; Thermoprotei; Thermoproteales; Thermoproteaceae. The record is from RNAcentral.